AAUAUUUAAAAGUAAUCUGGGACAAUGAUGUUAAAAGUUAUAUAAUGAAGUAUUAUUAUAGUUAUGUACAUUGUAAUAGGAGAUAUACAAUUUGUAUAUUGGAGCACAUGAAGCAACUCAAAUAGAAUCUCCACUGCGAAUUGCUUUGAUGUCAUUUUGGAAAGGAUCUCAAAUUUGUAAUGAAGAUUUCAAGAAACUGAGCCCGUUUAGAUCAAUCUUUAGACGACUAAUAAUAAUAAAUGUUUAAUCUAUUUUAAUUUUCCAA
Trachymyrmex septentrionalis is the source of this 265-nucleotide long non-coding RNA. RefSeq lists it as uncharacterized. The transcript is spliced from 3 exons. Lineage: Eukaryota; Metazoa; Arthropoda; Insecta; Hymenoptera; Formicidae. The record is from RefSeq and is a predicted model, not a curated record.